CACGUAGGGUGCGAGCGUUGUCCGGAAUUAUUGGGCGUAAAGAGCUCGUAGGCGGUGUGUCGCGUCGGCCGUGAAAACCUGUGGCUUAACUAUGGGCUUGCGGUCGAUACGGGCAUCACUGGAGUUCGGCAGGGGAGACUGGAAUUCCUGGUGUAGCGGUGAAAUGCGCAGAUAUCAGGAGGAACACCGGUGGCGAAGGCGGGUCUCUGGGCCGAUACUGACGCUGAGGAGCGAAAGCGUGGGGAGCGGACAGG
RNAcentral lists this ribosomal RNA (254 nucleotides) under uncultured bacterium. RNAcentral describes it as "partial 16S ribosomal RNA". It matches the Rfam family "Bacterial small subunit ribosomal RNA", at positions 524 to 776 of the family's 1533-position model. The record is from RNAcentral.